RNAcentral lists this ribosomal RNA (307 nucleotides) under uncultured eukaryote. RNAcentral's name for it is "partial 18S ribosomal RNA". It matches the Rfam family "Eukaryotic small subunit ribosomal RNA", at positions 1470 to 1796 of the family's 1831-position model. The record is from RNAcentral.
CCCUUAGACGUUCUGGGCCGCACGCGCGCUACACUGACAAAGGCAACGAGCUACUCUUCACCGAAAGGUGUGGGUAAUCUUUUGAAACUUUGUCGUGCUGGGGAUAGAUCCUUGCAAUUUUUGAUCUUAAACGAGGAAUUCCUAGUAAGCGCAAGUCAUCAACUUGCGUUGAUUACGUCCCUGCCCUUUGUACACACCGCCCGUCGCUACUACCGAUUGAAUGGUUUAGUGAGGCCUUCGGAUCCGCGACUCGUUUGUGGAGAAGUUGGACAAACUCGGUCAUUUAGAGGAAGUAAAAGUCGUAACA